GACAAGGCUAACUUUAAAGCCCCACCCACCACAGUCUGUGCUGCACUGAGUCUAUGAAAGGUUUUCUGCUGGGAUUUCUGGCCUCAAGAGGAAGCUAGUGUCCAUUUUGUUUUAACUAUGGCCACUAGUCAAACUUGUUCAAGCUUAGAUAUUAGUGAAUUGGGUUUUGUUCUUGAGUUAUUGGAGAAAUGUUGCUUCUCAGAAACUAAAUGGUAUAAGCUGGGGCUAAGACUAGGACUAAGGAAGAAUACACUGGACCUUAUUGAAAAGAAUCAUCCUCAUGAUGUAUCUCGUUGUAUGACAGAGUGCCUCUCCCAAUGGUUAGGUAGAGCUGAUAAUGUUGACAGUAGAGGAGGAGCCAACUUGGACUCACUGUCAGAUGCUCUAGGAUCUAUGAAUGAA
Molecule: long non-coding RNA, 402 nt
Organism: Amphimedon queenslandica
Lineage: Eukaryota; Metazoa; Porifera; Demospongiae; Haplosclerida; Niphatidae
Exons: 3
Source: RefSeq, a predicted model, not a curated record